GGGGAUUUAGCUCAGUGGUAGAGCGCUUGCCUAGCAAGUGGAAGGCCCUGGGUUCGGUCCCCAGCUCCG
Rattus norvegicus (Norway rat) is the source of this 69-nucleotide non-coding RNA. NCBI's taxonomy places the organism in Eukaryota, Metazoa, Chordata, Mammalia, Rodentia, Muridae. The record is from Rfam.